CAGUAGCCGCGGUAAUACGUAGGUGGCAAGCGUUGUCCGGAAUUAUUGGGCGUAAAGCGCGCGCAGGCGGAUCAGUCAGUCUGUCUUAAAAGUUCGGGGCUUAACCCCGUGAGGGGAUGGAAACUGCUGAUCUAGAGUAUCGGAGAGGAAAGUGGAAUUCCUAGUGUAGCGGUGAAAUGCGUAGAUAUUAGGAAGAACACCAGUGGCGAAGGCGACUUUCUGGACGAAAACUGACGCUGAGGCGCGAAAGCCAGGGGAGCGAACGGGAUUAGAGACCCCAGUAGUCCCUGUCUCUUAUACC
Molecule: ribosomal RNA, 301 nt
Filed under: uncultured bacterium
Lineage: Bacteria
Description: partial 16S ribosomal RNA
Rfam family: Bacterial small subunit ribosomal RNA
Source: RNAcentral